This 271-nucleotide ribosomal RNA is filed under the name uncultured prokaryote. RNAcentral describes it as "partial 16S ribosomal RNA". It matches the Rfam family "Bacterial small subunit ribosomal RNA", at positions 524 to 794 of the family's 1533-position model. The record is from RNAcentral.
UACGGAGGAUCCGAGCGUUAUCCGGAUUUAUUGGGUUUAAAGGGUGCGCAGGCGGGAGAUUAAGUCGGCGGUGAAAUUUUGCAGCUCAACUGUAAAAGUGCCUUCGAAACUGGUUUCCUUGAGUGUGGAUGAAGUAGGCGGAAUUUGUGGUGUAGCGGUGAAAUGCAUAGAUAUCACGAGGAACUCCGAUUGCGCAGGCAGCUUACUAAACUACUACUGACGCUCAGGCACGAAGGCGUGGGGAUCAAACAGGAUUAGAUACCCCCGUAGU